This 253-nucleotide ribosomal RNA is filed under the name uncultured bacterium. RNAcentral's name for it is "partial 16S ribosomal RNA". It matches the Rfam family "Bacterial small subunit ribosomal RNA", at positions 524 to 776 of the family's 1533-position model. The record is from RNAcentral.
UACGAGGGGGGCAAGCGUUGUUCGGAUUUAUUGGGCGUAAAGGGUGCGUAGGCGGUUUGGCAAGUCUUGUGUGAAAUCUUCGGGCUCAACCCGAAGCCUGCAUAAGAAACUGCCGGGCUUGAGUAUGGGAGAGGUGAGUGGAAUUUCCGGUGUAGCGGUGAAAUGCGUAGAUAUCGGAAGGAACACCUGUGGAGAAAGCGGCUCACUGGACCAUAACUGACGCUGAGGCACGAAAGCUAGGGGAGCAAACAGG